RNAcentral lists this long non-coding RNA (1016 nucleotides) under Homo sapiens (human). RNAcentral describes it as "HSALNT0047687". Lineage: Eukaryota; Metazoa; Chordata; Mammalia; Primates; Hominidae. The record is from RNAcentral.
AUUAUCUUGCUAGAAAAAAAGAGAUCCUGGCCUUCUAGCUGUCCCCAGCAGAGCCCCAGGCAUUCCAGUGAGGUUAUCUUGGGCAUACCAUGCCCAGGCUUGCUCCCAGCUGAAUGCAGCCAAGUAAAAGACCCCAGCAGAUGCCAUGUGGAAUGGAAGAGCCACCCAUCUGAGUUCAAUCAACACAGAGAACGGAGGGAUAUUGACCUGAAGGCACACUGUUCCCUCUUAAAGAAGCAAGAUCAACAUUCAGAAUCGCUCAGUGACAAAUCUCAAUUGGUGGAAGAACAGGUCACCCAUGGGCAGGAAACUCCGCUCCACACAAUUGUGGUGAGACCACACCUAGACGGCUGCGUGAUGUCUUGGGUACCUGAGUAUCCAAAAACUUGGACUGAGUUCAAAGGAGAUGAUUAAAGGAAUGGGGGAAUUGGAAGUGACUGACUGAUGAGAAAAGAUUAAAGGAGCCAAAUCAAGAAACCUGACAGAGCAAUAGCUAAGGGGAAAAAUGAUAAAAGCUACAAGUACCGGGAAUGUGCAAACACCAGAAAUUUAUAAGCCUACACCCUGGACACACUGAACUGAAACAUCUACCACAAAGUGGCAUCUAUUUCCGACCUUGCCAACAAUUUCAGCUUCCUGCUUACACUGUGCAGCUUCAUUUUAUGUCAAUAGUGGUUUCAUGCAGAGAACAAGAUCUAAAUGUGGAAAAGCGUUAAGAAACCAUCCCCCAAAUCGCUGUCACAUAACUUGAAGUGGAAGGGAGCCCAAAGAUCAGGAGAGAGGCACAGGAUCUGAAAGCUCAGUGGGAUCAGAUAGACUGUACUGGAGAAAGUUUUUCAAGAUCAAGUUCCUGAAAUGACAAUCACUCAUCCCUCCCUGAGAAAGAGAAAAUGCACGUGUGCUCACAGGAGCCUGCUAAGGGGUCUGGGGUUAUGCAGAAACAGUUCCUUGUACUUUUUUGUACUUCUCCAGGGUAUAUAUAUUUAUACAGAAACCUCCUCUUAUUACAUUAAAAU